Long non-coding RNA from Neofelis nebulosa (Clouded leopard), 1445 nucleotides. RefSeq lists it as uncharacterized. The record is from RefSeq and is a predicted model, not a curated record. Lineage: Eukaryota; Metazoa; Chordata; Mammalia; Carnivora; Felidae. The transcript has 3 exons.
CAAGUUCGGAGCGGGUGGCCGGUUCGGCGAGCCCUCCUGUGGUUCCUCUUCCUCUUCUUUCGGGUCCUGGCGGCCGCUCGGGGCCGGGGGCGCUGCCGGGCGCCGAGCCGCAGGGCGACUAGCGUGUCUCAGAUAAAGGACCCUCUUCAGUUUGGAUCCUGGAAUGAGAAGACGCAUGGAAUUCAGCGGAGCCAAAGCCAGUUAGCGUUGGCCAUGUCACAUGGACAAAAUGUUUGUUAUAAACCGCUGAGAUUUUAGGAAGCAUUUUUACCACAGCAUAACUUUGCCUAGGCCACCUGAUAAGCACUUUUCAGUAUGUGAGUGUCUAUGAUGUCCUUCACUGCUAUUGAAGACUGAGAAGGUGGGCACAUCCUGGCCUGGAAAUGUCAGGCAUCAUGUGCCAGAACAACGCCCCUUUUUAUGGGCGACUUGCCACCCUGAGUUCCUGCUGAAAGAGAAGUGCUACCAUUACUCCAGGCUGCCCAGCUGACCUGCGACCACAUGAACGAGGUGCUGCAAAUUCUCACCUUAGACUAAAAGCUCGAGACUCUUGGGGGUCCAGUGGAAGCAGGGAGGUGCUCAGCUGAAAGAAAUAGUCAAGGCUGGUAUGUCAGUCUGUUCUAGGCUGCUAUAACAGAGCUUCACAGCUGGGUGGUUUCUCAACAACAGAAAUUUAUUUCUCACAGUUCCGGAGGCUGGAAGUCCAAGAUCAAGGUAGAGAAAAACCGGGUCAAAGAAAUGUUCAAUAACACCCCCAGAUCCUGAUGGAGCUAGGAUUUGAACUCGGGCAAUUUGCCUGCUGAGCCAGAGUUCCCAACCACUACGUUGUAUCACUUGCUUCACGACAGAUCCGGUUUCGUUUCUUCUACUUAACAGAACCGCCCGAGGUACAGCACGGCACCUGUUUUUUAUUUGUGUUCAUUUAGGGACUGAUUCUCCCAUCACCGCCCCGAGGAAAGCAGGGCAGGAGCCCGGGCCCCGGCACUCAGCCACAGGACCUGCGCACGGUAAGACUCAACGCAGGUUUAUUUGGUGAAUGAAGCCCACGUUUACUGAAGAAGAAACAAACUUCUGACUCCCAAGUCCAGUGUUCUUGUCAAUAUAGCCUGCUGCCUGCCUGAAUGGCUGCUGUGAUGUGUACAUGCAACUUUCCCCCCAGUGGGGGGAUGAAAACACUGCACGUGGGGCGUGGACAGUCCAUCGUCCUGUGACCAAGCAGCUCCAGUAGGAACACCAACAGUUACAUCCAGGGACAUCAAACAGGGCCUUGGCAGGACGGGUAUAUACGUUAUAUUAUACUCAUUUUCAUGUGUAUUAACAUACACGAAAUGUUAACGUCUUUGACUAUUAAAUUGUCUACAUCAUAUAUGAUUAAUAUUUAUAUAUAUUAUAUUCGCCUUUUAUGUAUAUUAUAUCCAUUCUAUUAAGAUUUAUCAAAAAUGGAA